This is a transfer RNA of Anaeromyxobacter sp. Fw109-5, 73 nucleotides long. It matches the Rfam family "tRNA". From Rfam's summary of the family: Transfer RNA (tRNA) molecules are approximately 80 nucleotides in length. The record is from Rfam. NCBI's taxonomy places the organism in Bacteria, Pseudomonadati, Myxococcota, Myxococcia, Myxococcales, Anaeromyxobacteraceae.
GCGGGAAUAGCUCAGUUGGUAGAGCAUCAGCUUCCCAAGCUGAGGGUCGCCGGUUCGAACCCGGUUUCCCGCU